Molecule: long non-coding RNA, 1170 nt
Filed under: Homo sapiens (human)
Lineage: Eukaryota; Metazoa; Chordata; Mammalia; Primates; Hominidae
Description: long intergenic non-protein coding RNA 1013
Source: RNAcentral
GUUCAAGCGAGUCUCCUGCCUCAGCCUCCUGAGUAGCUGGGACUACACGUGUGUGCCACCAUGCCUGGACAGGUUUCCAUGUGCAAGGCUCCAGCCCAGACCAAUGACACUGCUUAUCUAUGAUUGUCAAAAUGCCAGCUAUCACCAGUGAAGAACUCCAGGUGGCACAAAUACUAUGACCUGUCUCCUAACAGAUCUCAGGAGGUAUUCCAUAGACAUCGGAUAUCUGUGUCUUAUGUCUCCAGUUUAAUUGUAAAUCCCCAAAGGACAGAACUGAGCCUGCUUCUUUGGUUUUCAAACAAAAUGUCACAUCCAGUGACAUUUUGAAAAUAAAACUUUGGCUCAUAAAUUUUAGAGCCAAGCAUAGGAUGCUGACAAGGGCCCUACCCAGCCAAUGGACAGCAGCUUGGUGACUUCUGAUCUCAUUUUUACUUAGAAAAAUUUCUCUAAAAUCAAUUUAGAGAGUUAUGAUCAGCACUAAAAAAUAAAUAAAAUAUAAGCAAAGGGAAAAUAUCCCAGUGAAUUACCCUUCAUAAGGAUGAGGAUUGCUUUGGGAAAUGUUUUAGUAUAUGUGCACUGUGUCAUAACCAGCAUUUUGAAAACCAUUGUGCAGCAGUGUAAGGACUCCAUAGAUGCUUGGUUUGGGGUCAUUUAAAUUGUCAAAGGAAGAGUGGAGGUAAAGAUUUGUAAAGGAGCCUCUCUGUAAAAUCAUGAGGGUCCUUUUGUGGCUCCUGAUCUUUGAUCCAUCAGUCUCAGAAUGAGGUGUAAGCAAGCCAUUAGGUUGCUGCAUGAGUCUGGUUGGGCACCUCCUUCCCUCAUUUUGAACAGUGAGAUUAAGCCACAAACUCUCUGAGGAGGUUCAAAUGCUGAUGUAAGUCUCAGAGUGAACACAACCUAUAAACACUACUAUAAGUUUCAAUCAUGUAAAUGGGAAGUUAAUUAUGAUUGUCAUAAACUGCUAGGUUCAACAACCUUCAAUUUAUUUUUUUAAAUGUUAAUGGAGUGCUUCCCCUGUGCCAGGAUUGUGUAGCCUGAAAAUACAGAGUUGAAUGAGGUACAGGUUACAACUUAGAAGAGCUUAUGAUCUAAUACAGGAGUUGGCAAACUACAGCCUGUGGGCCAAAUCUGGCCUACAAUCUGUUUGCAUAAAUAAAGUUUUAUUGGAAUUCA